This 588-nucleotide long non-coding RNA is filed under the name Anas platyrhynchos platyrhynchos (common mallard). RNAcentral describes it as "lncRNA (ENSAPLG00000028440.1)". Lineage: Eukaryota; Metazoa; Chordata; Aves; Anseriformes; Anatidae. The record is from RNAcentral.
UUUACACGCAGGCUUUUUGUGUCAUCUCUUCCACAUGCUCCAGGAAAGCAGAAGGAUCCAAAGUGGCCCCAAAAGGUUUUAAGAAGUGCCAAACUCCCAGCUGUGCACACGUUUCAUAUUGCUGCUAAAAAGUAAAUAAUUACCAUGUGAGAACCACAGCAACAUUUGAUUCCUGCCCCCCCCCCCCCCCCUCCCACACACACACAUCGUCUUGCUUUGCUCCUGUCUCUCUUCCCUUUUUUCUCCUACUUAGAUCCCAGUCCCAGAGGCUUGUGAUCUGAUUUGUCUUAUGUGACAAAAGGGCUUGAGCCUCAGCAACAAAACCUUUCCCUAGUGAGCAUAACCCAGCAAAGCCUUCUUGUUACUAUGUUUUGCAGGUCAUGGUUUUGCAAGUGCCUAGUGCAGCACAUCCAGGGACAAACCCAUGCCUCAAGCAGCUGGGCAGUAAAGAAGGCCAAGCAAAUCCUUUUCAGAUGCAGCAGCGAGUGCUGCUUCUUCAAUCAGCCUCCCCAGACAUGCACCACUGUCCCUCGGGCUGAAGAAAGAGAAAACCUCUAUAUAACAGUGCAAGGUGGAUUUCCAUUCUGA